GCCCCUAGCCUUUCUCUCAUCCCUUCCCUUUUCCCCAUACAACAAACCCUAGCGCUGCCAGGCUUCGAGCCUUCUCUCUCAUUCUAGAAAUGGCAAAGUUGCAGAGCGUACAAGGCUUUGCAGCCUUCAUACACGCUUUUUGUGUGAUAAGCAUUAAUGAUCCAACCCAGUUUCGUCUUCUUCCUCCCAAACACGCCACUUGGGCCGAGGACACAGCCUCUCUAAAGGCCCAAUAGGACAAUUCUUUCAAAUUUCAGCUAAGUACGAGCAAGGGAAGCUAAUAUGCAUUUAUGAAGGCCCCAACCAUGGGUUAAAAUGGUUAAGGGGGCUUGGUGCACCCUGAGUUAUUUCAUUCUUGUUGUAUGAUAUGUUUACCUUCAUACUUGUAUUUGUAAACUCACAACAUUAUUGGAAACCAAAUGGUUGGAACUAGACGCUUUAGGCAAA
Molecule: long non-coding RNA, 447 nt
Organism: Lycium barbarum (goji berry)
Lineage: Eukaryota; Viridiplantae; Streptophyta; Magnoliopsida; Solanales; Solanaceae
Exons: 2
Source: RefSeq, a predicted model, not a curated record